Molecule: ribosomal RNA, 778 nt
Filed under: uncultured Neocallimastigales
Lineage: Eukaryota; Fungi; Neocallimastigomycota; Neocallimastigomycetes; Neocallimastigales
Description: partial large subunit ribosomal RNA
Rfam family: Eukaryotic large subunit ribosomal RNA
Source: RNAcentral
GUAGUCUCGCACAGAUGCAUAUCAAUAAGCGGAGGAAAAGAAACUAACAAGGAUUCCCUUAGUAACGGCGAGUGAAGCGGGAAGAGCCCAAAUUUGAAAUCUUCAAGGUUUUACCUUGACGAAUUGUAGUUUAAAGAAGUGUUUUCUGUUGAAGUUUUGGUAAAAGUUCUUUGGAAUAGGACAUCAUAGAGGGUGAGAAUCCCGUAUUGACCAUUGGAUUUGUCAGCUGUGUGAUACACUUUCAAAGAGUCGGAUUGUUUGGGAAUGCAGUCCAAAAUGGGAUGGUAAAUUUCUAUCUAAGGCUAAAUAUUGGCGAGAGACCGAUAGCGAACAAGUACCGUGAGGGAAAGAUGAAAAGAACUUUGAAAAGAGAGUUAAACAGUACGUGAAAUUGUCAAAAGGGAAGCGUUUGACACCAGUGUUGUUUUCUCGAAAAUCAAUUAAAAAGAGUUAGAUUUUGUUGUGUAUUGACCUUAACAGCUUGCAUUUCAAUUUUCUUGCUUUUUUUAAUGCACUUUUCGUUUAACAAGUCAACAUCAGUUUCUUUUGUUGUAAAAAGGUCAUUGGAAGGUGGCUUUCUUUUCGGAGAAAGUGUUUAUAGCCUUUGACUCCUGCAAUCGGAGAGACUGAGGUCUGCAGCGUAGAUCCUUCGGGGUUAGAUACAUUUGUGCUAAGUUAUAGCUUUUUAUAGACAACUUGUUGACUAUGAUUAGUCUUGUAGCUUACUCGCUUAUGCUAUUUUACCUACGCUUAGGAUGUUGAAGAUGUAGCACAUCAU